GGAGUCGGCCAGGCAGCCGCUGUACCCGUGGCAAUCAAUGCGGGGCAGAGGAAAGUCCGGGCUCCAUAGAGCGGGAUGCGGGAUAACCACCCGGCGUGGCGACACGACGAACAGGGCCACAGAGACGAGUCCCGAGGCCGAAACACUCGCAAGGGUGCUCGAAAUCGGGGGUGAAACGCGGCAACCUCCAUCCGGAGCAACACCAAAUAGGCAAGCAGGGUAGCGGGGGCAACCCCGGUACUGGAGGCCGGCUCGGUCGGGCUUGCGGGUAGGUGGCUUGAGCCCU
RNAcentral lists this RNase P RNA (286 nucleotides) under Burkholderiales bacterium. RNAcentral's name for it is "partial RNase P RNA component class A". It matches the Rfam family "Bacterial RNase P class A", at positions 1 to 288 of the family's 367-position model. From Rfam's summary of the family: Ribonuclease P (RNase P) is a ubiquitous endoribonuclease, found in archaea, bacteria and eukarya as well as chloroplasts and mitochondria. Its best characterised activity is the generation of mature 5'-ends of tRNAs by cleaving the 5'-leader elements of precursor-tRNAs. Cellular RNase Ps are ribonucleoproteins. Lineage: Bacteria; Pseudomonadati; Pseudomonadota; Betaproteobacteria; Burkholderiales. The record is from RNAcentral.